This 606-nucleotide long non-coding RNA is filed under the name Junco hyemalis (dark-eyed junco). RNAcentral's name for it is "lncRNA (ENSJHYG00000002186.1)". Lineage: Eukaryota; Metazoa; Chordata; Aves; Passeriformes; Passerellidae. The record is from RNAcentral.
GGAGGAGGCUCCAGUGACUGGCUGGCCCCAGUUUGCUGUGGGUGGGGGAGGAAAAGCCUUUUUUUAUUUUUUUUUUUUCCCUUUGUUCACUGAACUUGCAGGGAGUUUUAAUGGCAAAGAACUUAAUGCCACAUUAUAUUAUUGUAAAGCUGCUGGCCUUUUUGAUUUAUUUUUCUUGCUACUUCCUAUUUUUGGUCUUCAUGUACUGUUUCUUUGAGCUGCUGUAUAUUUUUAUUAAAUAUCUUUGGUCGCUCCUAAUGGAAAGUGCUAAGAAAAGUCAUUUUGCUUCUCCUAAUAUUUUUAAGUGUUUGUUGGGUGGAUUUCAGUGCAGAUGGAAAAUCCCUGGGGCUGGAGGGCGAUGGAGCCUCGCUGGCCAGGGACAAACCCGUUCUAUUGCCCCUGCUGAGAGCCUUGAAUACUCCAGAAUUCACGGUGGAUUUCAGCUGCCUGCCCGAGGCUGUGAAGGCGCUGGCGCGCGACGGCUGCAGGGCCCUGCAGGAGCAGCAGUGCCACAGCGCCGAGCUCGCCUUCUCGCGGCUCCUCAGCAUCCUCUGCGCCUCGGGCGUGGCGGUGAGAGCGGCCAAAGCCCCUGCCCGGGGACCCCCU